Molecule: ribosomal RNA, 788 nt
Filed under: uncultured bacterium
Lineage: Bacteria
Description: bacterial SSU rRNA
Rfam family: Bacterial small subunit ribosomal RNA
Source: RNAcentral
UACUGGGCGUAAAGGGCUCGUAGGUGGUUUGUCGCGUCGUCUGUGAAAUCCGGGGCUUAACUCCGGGCGUGCAGGCGAUACGGGCAUAACUUGAGUACUGUAGGGGUAACUGGAAUUCCUGGUGUAGCGGUGAAAUGCGCAGAUAUCAGGAGGAACACCGAUGGCGAAGGCAGGUUACUGGGCAGUUACUGACGCUGAGGAGCGAAAGCAUGGGUAGCGAACAGGAUUAGAUACCCUGGUAGUCCAUGCCGUAAACGGUGGGCGCUAGGUGUGAGGGUCUUUUCACGACUUUCGUGCCGUAGCUAACGCAUUAAGCGCCCCGCCUGGGGAGUACGGCCGCAAGGCUAAAACUCAAAGGAAUUGACGGGGGCCCGCACAAGCGGCGGAGCAUGUGGAUUAAUUCGAUGCAACGCGAAGAACCUUACCUGGGCUUGACAUACACCAGAUCGCUGCAGAGAUGUAGUUUCCCUUUGUGGUUGGUGUACAGGUGGUGCAUGGUUGUCGUCAGCUCGUGUCGUGAGAUGUUGGGUUAAGUCCCGCAACGAGCGCAACCCUUGUCUUAUGUUGCCAGCAUUUGGUUGGGGACUCAUGAGAGACUGCCGGGGUCAACUCGGAGGAAGGUGGGGAUGACGUCAAAUCAUCAUGCCCCUUAUGUCCAGGGCUUCACACAUGCUACAAUGGUCGGUACAAUGCGCAGCGACACUGUGAGGUGGAGCGAAUCGCUGAAAGCCGGCCUUAGUUCGGAUUGGGGUCUGCAACUCGACCCCAUGAAGUCGGAGUCGCUAGUA